CUAUCGAUAACUUUGAUAUUUUUUCAAAAUGCAACUACGGUCACAUCGCCACGUGCAUUCUUUCAUUUCAAUUUUUCAUUCAAAAUGGCUAGUCGAGUUUCUCCUCUUAAUAAUCAACUAAAAUUUAAUAAAAGUAAUGCCACGCGGUAGCAGCAACCAUCUGCAUUAUAAUGAAAUGGAAAAUUCAAUUUUUGAUAUGUGUUUCGCCAGAUAUAUCGCACGUGUUGAAAAGUAAGAGGUAGUAAUGGUUUUGGAGCGUCGACUUUUUGAGUAUGGAUCUCCGCCUAAGUUUGACGGUAACAAUAGAAACUCAGCAAUCAUUACUAAACUCUGGAGACAACAUAAAUAUCAGGGAUCAUACAGCGAUCGAUGGUUAAUCAGGACACAUAAUACAGUGAAAAUCAGACUGUUUUUGCUCCCAACUGAAGCAAAUUAGGAAAUUUACGAAUCUUGGCUUAGGUUGAGGGAAAUGAGAAAUGCUGAGAACAUCUGGGCAAAAAAAAGAAAGUUAUACUAAAAUUCCACAUUGAGCUCUGGCGAAAAAAUGCAAAAGUAACUUGGAUCUUGGCAUUGGUCUGGACGAAUAUCUAUUCAAAUGUCUGCUAAAUUUUUUAGUAUGAUUAAACUGAAAUAUGUACCUACAAUACACUCCAAAUAUCGAUGCCAAAUGUUGUCCUGAUAAAAAAUUUAAAAACUACUCAAAAGAAUCGCUAACUUAAAGAGGCUCUUAUCAGCUUUAAAGUAUGGCAAAUGGCACCACAAUCAACAUUUAAAGAUGGCUCUAAAAGAAAUUAAGAUAUCUGGAUUAUUGCUUUGGCUUCACAGUAAUCAAUCAUUUGAAAUUGACAUAGAAAGAAGUUAAGAUAUCUGGAUUAAAACUGCAAAAUAUGUUUAUCUGCAAGCCAUGUUUAUAAAGGCUUAAUCGGAAUCGAUUUUAACUAAUGACUAAUAAAUCUGCUGACUUUGGUAUAAUAAACAAGGUGAUGAAACCCCAACACCACCACCUUGGGUUUAUUUGCUUUGUGAUUCAUUCGAGCUGUUUUGGUAUUCGACGGAUUGGGAAGAACCACAAAAUGAUUUCUAAAAAUAAAACUGAUGUAUCUUAUCGAUGAAUAAAAAUGCAAAGAUUUUAUUUAAUAUAACGUGA
Long non-coding RNA from Drosophila gunungcola (fruit fly), 1147 nucleotides. RefSeq lists it as uncharacterized. The transcript has 17 exons. Lineage: Eukaryota; Metazoa; Arthropoda; Insecta; Diptera; Drosophilidae. The record is from RefSeq and is a predicted model, not a curated record.